UUUCCGUAGGUGAACCUGCGGAAGGAUCAUUAUUGUAUAACCGAGGUGCGAGGGCUGUCGCUGACCCGAAAGGUCCUGCACGCCCGAGUGCCCUCACACACAUCCAUCUCACCCCUAUGUGCACCACCGCGUGGGUCCCCCUUUGGCUUGUUCGGAGGGGUGCUUACGUUUUCACACAAACUUUGUAUGCAGUGUAGAAUGUAUUUUUUGUUUUUGCGAUCACGCAAUCAAUACAACUUUCAACAACGGAUCUCUUGGCUCUCGCAUGAUGAAGAACGCAGC
Molecule: unclassified non-coding RNA, 282 nt
Filed under: plant metagenome
Description: partial contains small subunit ribosomal RNA, internal transcribed spacer 1, and 5.8S ribosomal RNA
Rfam family: 5.8S ribosomal RNA (bases 235-282)
Source: RNAcentral